Cuculus canorus (common cuckoo) is the source of this 72-nucleotide small nucleolar RNA. RefSeq annotates it as small nucleolar RNA SNORD34. The record is from RefSeq and is a predicted model, not a curated record. Lineage: Eukaryota; Metazoa; Chordata; Aves; Cuculiformes; Cuculidae. The transcript has a single exon.
UUGUGUCAAUGAUGUGGUUUUUUACCUACAUUUUUUGAUGGUUUGUGAGAAAAACAACAAACUGAGACACAA